Molecule: ribosomal RNA, 549 nt
Filed under: uncultured bacterium
Lineage: Bacteria
Description: partial 16S ribosomal RNA
Rfam family: Bacterial small subunit ribosomal RNA
Source: RNAcentral
UGGGGAAUUUUGGACAAUGGGCGAAAGCCUGAUCCAGCAAUGCCGCGUGUGUGAAGAAGGCCUUCGGGUUGUAAAGCACUUUUGUCCGGAAAGAAAUCCUUGGCUCUAAUACAGUCGGGGGAUGACGGUACCGGAAGAAUAAGCACCGGCUAACUACGUGCCAGCAGCCGCGGUAAUACGUAGGGUGCAAGCGUUAAUCGGAAUUACUGGGCGUAAAGCGUGCGCAGGCGGUUUGCUAAGACCGAUGUGAAAUCCCCGGGCUCAACCUGGGAACUGCAUUGGUGACUGGCAGGCUAGAGUAUGGCAGAGGGGGGUAGAAUUCCACGUGUAGCAGUGAAAUGCGUAGAGAUGUGGAGGAAUACCGAUGGCGAAGGCAGCCCCCUGGGCCAAAUACUGACGCUCAUGCACGAAAGCGUGGGGGAGCAAACAGGAUUAGAUACCCUGGUAGUCCACGCCCUAAACGAUGUCAACUAGUUGUUGGGGAUUCAUUUCCUUAGUAACGUAGCUAACGCGUGAAGUUGACCGCCUGGGGAGUACGGUCGCAAGAUU